RNAcentral lists this ribosomal RNA (777 nucleotides) under uncultured Neocallimastigales. RNAcentral describes it as "partial large subunit ribosomal RNA". It matches the Rfam family "Eukaryotic large subunit ribosomal RNA", at positions 22 to 633 of the family's 3401-position model. Lineage: Eukaryota; Fungi; Neocallimastigomycota; Neocallimastigomycetes; Neocallimastigales. The record is from RNAcentral.
UGUGUAUCAGUACAUGGCAUAUCAAUAAGCGGAGGAAAAGAAACUAACUAGGAUUCCCUCAGUAACGGCGAGUGAAGCGGGAAGAGCUCAAAUUUGAAAUCUUCAAGGUUCUACCUUGACGAAUUGUAGUUUAAAGAAGUGUUUUCUGUUGGAGUUUUGGUAAAAGUUCUUUGGAAUAGGACAUCAUAGAGGGUGAGAAUCCCGUAUUUGACCAUUAUUUCCAACUUUGUGAUACACUUUCAAAGAGUCGGAUUGUUUGGGAAUGCAGUCCAAAAUGGGUGGUAAAUUUCAUCUAAAGCUAAAUACUGGCGAGAGACCGAUAGCGAACAAGUACCGUGAGGGAAAGAUGAAAAGAACUUUGAAAAGAGAGUUAAACAGUACGUGAAAUUGUCAAAAGGGAAGCGUUUGACACCAGUGUUGUUUUCUCGAAAAUCAAUUAAAAAUGGAUGGGAUGUUGUGUUGUAUUGACUUUAUCAGCUUUCUGCACUUUUUUUCCUUAUCUUUUUUAAUGCACUUUUCGUUUAACAAGUCAACAUCAAUUUCUUUUGUUGUAAAAGGGUCAUUGGAAGGUGGCUUUCAUUUCGGUGAAAGUGUUUAUAGCCUUUGGCUUCUGCAAUCGGAGAGAUUGAGGUCUGCAGCGUAGAUCCUUCGGGGUUAGAUGCAUUUGUGCUAAGUUAUAGCCUUUCAUAGACAACUUGUUGACUAUGAUCAGUCAUGUAGCUUACUCGCUUAUGUCAUUUUACCUACGCUUAGGAUGUUGACAGCAGUAUAGACUGU